RNAcentral lists this ribosomal RNA (491 nucleotides) under uncultured bacterium. Its description in RNAcentral is "partial 16S ribosomal RNA". It matches the Rfam family "Bacterial small subunit ribosomal RNA", at positions 29 to 506 of the family's 1533-position model. The record is from RNAcentral.
AGUGAACGCUGGCGGUAGGCCUAACACAUGCAAGUCGAACGGCAGCACAGUAAGAGCUUGCUCUUACGGGUGGCGAGUGGCGGACGGGUGAGGAAUACAUCGGAAUCUACUUUUUCGUGGGGGAUAACGUAGGGAAACUUACGCUAAUACCGCAUACGACCUACGGGUGAAAGCAGGGGAUCUUCGGACCUUGCGCGAUUGAAUGAGCCGAUGUCGGAUUAGCUAGUUGGCGGGGUAAAGGCCCACCAAGGCGACGAUCCGUAGCUGGUCUGAGGGGAUGAUCAGCCACACUGGAACUGAGACACGGUCCAGACUCCUACGGGAGGCAGCAGUGGGGAAUAUUGGACAAUGGGCGCAAGCCUGAUCCAGCCAUACCGCGUGGGUGAAGAAGGCCUUCGGGUUGUAAAGCCCUUUUGUUGGGAAAGAAAAGCAGCAGGUUAAUACCCCGCUGUUCGGACGGUACCCAAAGAAUAAGCACCGGCUAACUUCGU